This 75-nucleotide transfer RNA is filed under the name Medicago truncatula (barrel medic). RNAcentral's name for it is "tRNA-OTHER". Lineage: Eukaryota; Viridiplantae; Streptophyta; Magnoliopsida; Fabales; Fabaceae. The record is from RNAcentral.
GUGAGCAUAGUUCAGUUGGUAGGACAACGCAUUAUUAUAUGCAGGGGUCGGGGUUCGAACCCCGGACACUCCACU